Molecule: non-coding RNA, 72 nt
Organism: Schistocerca serialis cubense
Lineage: Eukaryota; Metazoa; Arthropoda; Insecta; Orthoptera; Acrididae
Source: the annotation of a RefSeq genome assembly
ACUACAGUGGUGUAAUGGUUAGCACAUCUGCCUAGUAAGCAGGAGAGUCAGGUUCAAGUCCUGGCUGUGGCA